CCGCACAUGGCCCGGCCCCGCCGUGCUGCAGUCAGGGGGCCGUGCGGGCAGGGCCGGGUAGCGGCGGCCGCGUGGCCUAAUGGAUAAGGCGUCUGACUUCGGAUCAGAAGAUUGCAGGGGCGAGCCGGCGGGGGAGGAGGCUGGCACCCGAGGUAAGUCCCCUCCGCCCGGAGCUGCGGGCACGGGCGGUGCCGGCGCUGCGGGGGCGCGAAGGAACCGGGGGUUGGGGAGCAAAGGGGGGGGCACAGCCGGGCCUGCCCCAUCCCCAUCCCCUUCCCCAUCCCGGGGCAGGGCCCUGGAGGGGCUGCGGGCUCCGUCCUAGGGCCGGGGGAGGUUGGAGGCGGCGGGGGGACAGGCGGUGGCGGUGGUCCCGGGGGUCGCGGGCAGCCCGUGCCCCGCACCCUGCCCCAUCCGUCGGGGCCGGGCCGGGGUCCCCCGGGUGGAGCAGCCCCCGGAGCCCGCUCCCAGCCCCGGGCUCCUCCCGUGCGUGUCUCAAUUCACUCAGGCUUGACUUGGCAAUAAGCUCUCUCAAUAGGGUGACAAUAGAGCCCCAGUGGGACCCGAACAAAGAAUUUGAAAGUAGUUAAAUUGCAGGACACGUCCAUCGCCUGGGUGCUUGAAUUAAAGAAAAAAAAAAUCGGAGAAAAGAAAAAGGAGAGAGACUUUUCUUUGGGCUGGUGAGAAAAUGCUCAGGGUAAAAGUUGGUUUGGCGUCUUCAUUUCAGCGACAAUGGAGCAGAGCUAAUUCAAUAGGAAACGCGGGGAUUUUUUAAUGAAAAGACCGCCAGGGUUACACCGAAGUUAAGCUCUUGUGAAUUAAUUAUUAGGGCAAAUAAACUGGGGAGGGGGGGAGCGCUCUGGAGGGAGUGUUGCAAUUUCUUAAUAUUCUCCUUUUCGUGUUUAACGACAAUGCCAUUAGGUUUCGACUCUGGGUGAGCAAAAGGAUUUCUUACACUCCCCGGGAAGAGGAGAAGACGCUUUUUAUGGUGUUACUUAAUUGCUUUUAAAAUAAAAUACUACGGAAUUUGGCAACGAGCUCCGGUUUCUGCUGGCGGUGGCGUUUGGGGUUAUAUUUCCUUUCGUGGCAACUCGCAGACGCAAAAAAUAAAAAAAAAAAAAAAAAAAAAAAAAAGGAAAAUAACGGGGAAAUUUAAAAACCCCAAUGUAAAGGCGAGGCGGCGAGUUCGGCUCUUCCAGACCCCUCGGUCUCGAUCGGUUUAUUUUCUCCUACAGAAAAAACCUGUCCGGGGCUGGCUGCGUGCUCACCAGGGCGGCGAGAGGCUCCCCAAAGCCGGUCCGGGGCAUUGCUUUGGGAGAAUCGCAGAUAAAAAAAUAGCAACCGGGUUGUGUUAACCGCAGGA
This 1360-nucleotide transfer RNA is filed under the name Anas zonorhyncha (Eastern spot-billed duck). RNAcentral's name for it is "lncRNA (ENSAZOG00000008158.1)". The record is from RNAcentral. Lineage: Eukaryota; Metazoa; Chordata; Aves; Anseriformes; Anatidae.